GGGACCUCGAGGAGCCAGGUUUACAAAUCUGACUGUCGUGACCCCUAAAAGAACAUUUGCAUAGCAAGGGCGGGGCAAAACCCGGUUGCCCCCCCCCCCCGGUAACACCGGCGUCUCGAGUGGUAACCGUUAUUAUUUGGUCUAAAGGGUCUGUAGCCGGCCGGAUAAGUCUCCUGGGAAAUCCAACAGCUCAACUGUUGGGCUUUCAGGAGAUACUGUGUGGCUCGAGGACGAGAGAGGUGAGAGGUACUUCUGGGGUAGGGGUGAAAUCUAAUAAUCCUGGAAAGACCUCCAGUGGCGAAGGCGUCUCACCAGAACGGCCCUGACGGCAAGGGACGAAAGCUAGGGGCACGAACCGGAUUAGAUACCCGGGUAGUCCUAGCCGUAAACGAUACUCGCUAGGUGUCGGCACGGCGCGACCGUUGUCGGUGCCGUAGGGAAGCCGUGAAGCGAGCCACCUGGGAAGUACGGCCGCAAGGCUGAAACUUAAACGAAUUGGCGGGGGAGCACCACAACGGGUGGAGCUUGCGGUUUAAUUGGAUCACGCCGGAAAGGGCGAAU
Molecule: ribosomal RNA, 561 nt
Filed under: uncultured archaeon
Lineage: Archaea
Description: bacterial SSU rRNA
Rfam family: Archaeal small subunit ribosomal RNA
Source: RNAcentral